Molecule: ribosomal RNA, 262 nt
Filed under: uncultured archaeon
Lineage: Archaea
Description: partial 16S ribosomal RNA
Rfam family: Archaeal small subunit ribosomal RNA
Source: RNAcentral
CAGCCGUAAACUAUGCGCGUUAGGUGUAUCGGUGACCACGAGUUACCGAGGUGCCGAAGGGAAACCGUGAAACGUGCCGCCUGGGAAGUACGGUCGCAAGGCUGAAACUUAAAGGAAUUGGCGGGGGAGCACCACAACAGGUGGAGCCUGCGGUUUAAUUGGACUCAACGCCGGGAAGCUCACCGGAUAGGACAGCAGAAUGAUUGCCGGGCUGAAAGACCCUGCAUGACUAGCUGAGAGGAGGUGCAUGGCGUAGACGUCU